This 254-nucleotide ribosomal RNA is filed under the name uncultured bacterium. RNAcentral describes it as "partial 16S ribosomal RNA". It matches the Rfam family "Bacterial small subunit ribosomal RNA", at positions 524 to 776 of the family's 1533-position model. The record is from RNAcentral.
GACGUAGGGGGCUAGCGUUGUCCGGAAUCAUUGGGCGUAAAGAGCGUGUAGGCGGCUCGGUAAGUCCGCUGUGAAAAGUCCAGGGCUCAACCCUGGAAUGCCAGUGGAAACUGUCGAGCUAGAGUCCGGAAGAGGCGAGUGGAAUUCCUGGUGUAGCGGUGAAAUGCGCAGAGUAUCAGGAGGAACACCAAUGGCGAAGGCAGCUCGCUGGGACGGUACUGACGCUGAGACGCGAAAGCGUGGGGAGAAACAGG